UACGAAGGGAGCUAGCGUUGUUCGGAAUCACUGGGCGUAAAGCGCACGUAGGCGGAUGUGUCAGUCAGGGGUGAAAUCCCGGAGCUCAACUUCGGAACUUCCUUUGAUACAGCACGUCUUGAGUCCGAUAGAGGUGGGUGGAAUUCCUAGUGUAGAGGUGAAAUUCGUAGAUAUUAGGAAGAACACCGGUGGCGAAGGCGGCCCACUGGAUCGGUACUGACGCUGAGGUGCGAAAGCGUGGGGAGCAAACAGG
RNAcentral lists this ribosomal RNA (253 nucleotides) under uncultured bacterium. RNAcentral describes it as "partial 16S ribosomal RNA". It matches the Rfam family "Bacterial small subunit ribosomal RNA", at positions 524 to 776 of the family's 1533-position model. The record is from RNAcentral.